This 253-nucleotide ribosomal RNA is filed under the name uncultured bacterium. RNAcentral's name for it is "partial 16S ribosomal RNA". It matches the Rfam family "Bacterial small subunit ribosomal RNA", at positions 524 to 776 of the family's 1533-position model. The record is from RNAcentral.
UACAGAGGGUGCAAGCGUUAAUCGGAAUUACUGGGCGUAAAGCGCACGUAGGCGGUUUUUUAAGUCAGAUGUGAAAGCCCCGGGCUCAACCUGGGAAUUGCAUUUGAAACUGGGAAACUAGAGUACGUGAGAGGGGGGUAGAAUUCCAAGUGUAGCGGUGAAAUGCGUAGAGAUUUGGAGGAAUACCAGUGGCGAAGGCGGCCCCCUGGCACAACACUGACGCUCAGGUGCGAAAGCGUGGGGAGCAAACAGG